Molecule: ribosomal RNA, 814 nt
Filed under: Escherichia coli
Lineage: Bacteria; Pseudomonadati; Pseudomonadota; Gammaproteobacteria; Enterobacterales; Enterobacteriaceae
Description: partial 23S ribosomal RNA
Rfam family: Bacterial large subunit ribosomal RNA
Source: RNAcentral
CUGUGAGCUCGAUGAGUAGGGCGGGACACGUGGUAUCCUGUCUGAAUAUGGGGGGACCAUCCUCCAAGGCUAAAUACUCCUGACUGACCGAUAGUGAACCAGUACCGUGAGGGAAAGGCGAAAAGAACCCCGGCGAGGGGAGUGAAAAAGAACCUGAAACCGUGUACGUACAAGCAGUGGGAGCACAGAGCAAUCUGUGUGACUGCGUACCUUUUGUAUAAUGGGUCAGCGACUUAUAUUCUGUAGCAAGGUUAACCGAAUAGGGGAGCCGAAGGGAAACCGAGUCUUAACUGGGCGUUAAGUUGCAGGGUAUAGACCCGAAACCCGGUGAUCUAGCCAUGGGCAGGUUGAAGGUUGGGUAACACUAACUGGAGGACCGAACCGACUAAUGUUGAAAAAUUAGCGGAUGACUUGUGGCUGGGGGUGAAAGGCCAAUCAAACCGGGAGAUAGCUGGUUCUCCCCGAAAGCUAUUUAGGUAGCGCCUCGUGAAUUCAUCUCCGGGGGUAGAGCACUGUUUCGGCAAGGGGGUCAUCCCGACUUACCAACCCGAUGCAAACUGCGAAUACCGGAGAAUGUUAUCACGGGAGACACACGGCGGGUGCUAACGUCCGUCGUGAAGAGGGAAACAACCCAGACCGCCAGCUAAGGUCCCAAAGUCAUGGUUAAGUGGGAAACGAUGUGGGAAGGCCCAGACAGCCAGGAUGUUGGCUUAGAAGCAGCCAUCAUUUAAAGAAAGCGUAAUAGCUCACUGGUCGAGUCGGCCUGCGCGGAAGAUGUAACGGGGCUAAACCAUGCACCGAAGCUGCGGCAGCG